Small nuclear RNA from Cavia porcellus (domestic guinea pig), 102 nucleotides. NCBI's taxonomy places the organism in Eukaryota, Metazoa, Chordata, Mammalia, Rodentia, Caviidae. The record is from Ensembl.
UCACUUCAGCAGUACAUAUACUAACAUUGGAACGGUACAGAAAAGAUUCAUGUAGCCCCAGCACAAGGGUGUACGGAAAUUCAUGAAGCAGUCUAUAUUUUU